AUACGGAGGAUGCAAGCGUUAUCCGGAUUUAUUGGGUUUAAAGGGUGCGUAGGCGGUUUGCUAAGCGGGAGGUGAAAUGCCGGCGCUCAACGUCGGAAGUGCCUCCCGAACUGGUGGACUUGAAUGACUCUGCCGUGGGCGGAAUGUGUAGUGUAGCGGUGAAAUGCUUAGAGAUUAGACAGAACACCGAUUGCGAAGGCAUCUCACUAAGGGGUGAUUGACGCUGAGGCUCGAAAGCGCGGGGAUCAAACAGGAUUAGAUUCCCUGGUAGGGCUCGCAGUAAACGAUUAUGGCUAACCGCUGGGCUUAUCAGUUCAAUUGCCAAGCGAAAGCGAUCAGCCAUCCACCUGGGUAGUACGGCCGCAAGGUUGAGACUCAAAUGAAUUGACGGGC
RNAcentral lists this ribosomal RNA (393 nucleotides) under uncultured bacterium. Its description in RNAcentral is "partial 16S ribosomal RNA". It matches the Rfam family "Bacterial small subunit ribosomal RNA", at positions 523 to 918 of the family's 1533-position model. The record is from RNAcentral.